GUUGUCAAGACAGGGCUAGCAAGAGUGUUUAUUGAGAAAGAUGAAUUCACAGAGAUUUUGAGGUUCCUGGCUGAGUGAUGGAGACCUCAAAAAACGCCUGGUGAGCGAUUUCAGGACCUUCUGUCCAGAGGGAAAGACCAGAACAACUUCCAGGUGAGUCCUGCCGCUUCACAGGGGGAGAAGUGUCACCAGAUUCAAUGCAAGGGUUUUGUGAGUGAGAAGGGCAGGGGGUCUGACUUGGAGAAGGUAUUUCUCUGAAAGCAACGGCUAUUGUGGGAGACGGGAGAAAGCACAGCCAGAAAUCAGAAUGGCAUUUGGGGGUCUGGGUUAGAUAUUCUGGUGGGUUCUCUUCCCGAUGGGACAGAGAAGGAAACCCACUUCCCUUCUGUCUACUUGGUGAAUCUGCGGGUCUCCGAGUUGCUGUCUGCUACAUCUCAUAGCACCUAUCUUGGACUGGACAAAAUUAGCUCAGGUACCCUGCAGGCUGAGAGGGAACAGCUAGUCACAGGAGCCUGGUUUAGGGGAGUUCAAUUGUUCUGAGGUUCCGGGGAAACCGAUGGAGGAGGUAGAUGAGCGGGUUGGC
This 583-nucleotide long non-coding RNA is filed under the name Homo sapiens (human). Its description in RNAcentral is "HSALNT0019895". The record is from RNAcentral. Lineage: Eukaryota; Metazoa; Chordata; Mammalia; Primates; Hominidae.